RNAcentral lists this ribosomal RNA (1095 nucleotides) under Areotheca areolata. RNAcentral describes it as "eukaryotic LSU rRNA". It matches the Rfam family "Eukaryotic large subunit ribosomal RNA", at positions 28 to 1155 of the family's 3401-position model. The record is from RNAcentral. Lineage: Eukaryota; Fungi; Ascomycota; Sordariomycetes; Sordariales; Naviculisporaceae.
CUGAACUUAAGCAUAUCAAUAAGCGGAGGAAAACAAACCAACAGGGAUUGCCCCAGUAACGGCGAGUGAAGCGGCAACAGCUCAAAUUUGAAAUCUGGCUUCGGCCCGAGUUGUAAUUUGUAGAGGAAGCUUUUGGUGCGGCACCUACUGAGUCCCCUGGAACGGGGCGCCAUAGAGGGUGAGAGCCCCGUAUAGUAGGAUGCCCAGCCUUUGUAAAGCUCCUUCGACGAGUCGAGUAGUUUGGGAAUGCUGCUCAAAAUGGGAGGUAAAUUUCUUCUAAAGCUAAAUAUUGGCCAGAGACCGAUAGCGCACAAGUAGAGUGAUCGAAAGAUGAAAAGCACUUUGAAAAGAGGGUUAAACAGCACGUGAAAUUGUUGAAAGGGAAGCGCUUGUGACCAGACUUGCGCCGGGCCGAUCAUCCGGUGUUCUCACCGGUGCACUCGGCCCGGCUCAGGCCAGCAUCGGUUCUCGUGGGGGGAUAAAGGCUCAGGGAACGUGGCUCCUCCGGGAGUGUUAUAGCCCUGGGUGCAAUGCCCUCGUGGGGACCGAGGUUCGCGCAUCUGCAAGGAUGCUGGCGUAAUGGUCAUCAGCGACCCGUCUUGAAACACGGACCAAGGAGUCAAGGUUUUGCGCGAGUGUUUGGGUGUUAAACCCGCACGCGUAAUGAAAGUGAACGUAGGUGAGAGCUUCGGCGCAUCAUCGACCGAUCCUGAUGUAUUCGGAUGGAUUUGAGUAGGAGCGUUAAGCCUUGGACCCGAAAGAUGGUGAACUAUGCUUGGAUAGGGUGAAGCCAGAGGAAACUCUGGUGGAGGCUCGCAGCGGUUCUGACGUGCAAAUCGAUCGUCAAAUCUGAGCAUGGGGGCGAAAGACUAAUCGAACCAUCUAGUAGCUGGUUACCGCCGAAGUUUCCCUCAGGAUAGCAGUGUUGUUCUUCAGUUUUAUGAGGUAAAGCGAAUGAUUAGGGACUCGGGGGCGCUUUUUAGCCUUCAUCCAUUCUCAAACUUUAAAUAUGUAAGAAGCCCUUGUUACUUAAUUGAACGUGGGCAUUCGAAUGUACCAACACUAGUGGGCCAUUUUUGGUAAGCAGAACUGGCG